RNAcentral lists this transfer RNA (87 nucleotides) under Candidatus Peribacteria bacterium. RNAcentral's name for it is "tRNA-Ser". It matches the Rfam family "tRNA". From Rfam's summary of the family: Transfer RNA (tRNA) molecules are approximately 80 nucleotides in length. Their secondary structure includes four short double-helical elements and three loops (D, anti-codon, and T loops). Lineage: Bacteria; Candidatus Peregrinibacteriota; Candidatus Peribacteria. The record is from RNAcentral.
GGAGAGGUGGCAGAGUGGUCGAAUGCGGCAGUCUUGAAAACUGUUGAUCGUUCACGCGAUCCGUGGGUUCGAAUCCCACCCUCUCCG